GACGGUACUUGAGGAAUAAGCCACGGCUAAUUCCGUGCCAGCAGCCGCGGUAAUACGGGAGUGGCAAGCGUUAUCCGGAAUCAUUGGGCGUAAAGCGUCCGCAGGUGGCUUUGUAAGUCUGCUGUUAAAGCGUGGAGCUUAACUCCAUUUCAGCGGUGGAAACUACAAAGCUUGAGUGUGGUAGGGGCAGAGGGAAUUCCCGGUGUAGCGGUGAAAUGCGUAGAUAUCGGGAAGAACACCAGUGGCGAAGGCGCUCUGCUGGGCCAUAACUGACACUCAUGGACGAAAGCCAGGGGAGCGAAAGGGAUUAGAUACCCCUGUAGUCCUGGCCGUAAACGAUGAACACUAGGCGUCGGGGGAAUCGACCCCCUCGGUGUCGUAGCCAACGCGUUAAGUGUUCCGCCUGGGGAGUACGCACGCAAGUGUGAAACUCAAAGGAAUUGACGGGGGCCCGCACAAGCGGUGGAGUAUGUGGUUUAAUUCGAUGCAACGCGAAGAACCUUACCAGGGUUUGACAUCCUGCGAACCCCUGAGAAAUCGGGGGGUGCCUUCGGGAACGCAGUGACAGGUGGUGCAUGGCUGUCGUCAGCUCGUGUCGUGAGAUGUUGGGUUAAGUCCCGCAACGAGCGCAACCCACGUCUUUAGUUGCCAGCAUUCAGUUGGGCACUCUAGAGAGACCGCCGGUGAUAAACCGGAGGAAGGUGUGGAUGACGUCAAGUCAUCAUGCCCCUUACAUCCUGGGCUACACACGUACUACAAUGCUACGGACAAAGGGCAGCAAACUCGCGAGAGCAAGCAAACCCCAUAAGCCGUGGCUCAGUUCAGAUCGUAGGCUGCAACUCGCCUACGUGAAGGAGGAAUCGCUAGUAAUCGCAGGUCAGCAUACUGCGGUGAAUACGUUCCCGGGCCUUGUACACACCGCCCGUCACACCAUGGAAGUUAGCCACGCCCGAAGUCGUUACUCCAACCCUUGUGGAGGAGGAUGC
RNAcentral lists this ribosomal RNA (986 nucleotides) under uncultured cyanobacterium. Its description in RNAcentral is "bacterial SSU rRNA". It matches the Rfam family "Bacterial small subunit ribosomal RNA", at positions 471 to 1456 of the family's 1533-position model. The record is from RNAcentral. Lineage: Bacteria; Bacillati; Cyanobacteriota.